AGCUAGUUGACGAGUCUCAAAUAGGACGAAAUGCGCGUUGUUCUGGAU
This 48-nucleotide non-coding RNA is filed under the name Trichobilharzia regenti. The record is from RNAcentral. Lineage: Eukaryota; Metazoa; Platyhelminthes; Trematoda; Strigeidida; Schistosomatidae.